GAUGAACGCUGGCGGCGUGCCUAAUACAUGCAAGUCGAGCGAACAGAUGAGGAGCUUGCUCCUCUGACGUUAGCGGCGGACGGGUGAGUAACACGUGGAUAACCUACCUAUAAGACUGGGAUAACUUCGGGAAACCGGAGCUAAUACCGGAUAAUAUAUUGAACCGCAUGGUUCAAUAGUGAAAGACGGUUUUGCUGUCACUUAUAGAUGGAUCCGCGCCGCAUUAGCUAGUUGGUAAGGUAACGGCUUACCAAGGCAACGAUGCGUAGCCGACCUGAGAGGGUGAUCGGCCACACUGGAACUGAGACACGGUCCAGACUCCUACGGGAGGCAGCAGUAGGGAAUCUUCCGCAAAGGGCGAAAGCCUGACGGAGCAACGCCGCGUGAGUGAUGAAGGUCUUCGGAUCGUAAAACUCUGUUAUUAGGGAAGAACAAAUGUGUAAGUAACUAUGCACGUCUUGACGGUACCUAGUCAGAAAGCCACGGCUAACUACGUG
This 497-nucleotide ribosomal RNA is filed under the name uncultured bacterium. RNAcentral's name for it is "partial 16S ribosomal RNA". It matches the Rfam family "Bacterial small subunit ribosomal RNA", at positions 28 to 507 of the family's 1533-position model. The record is from RNAcentral.